AUUGAACGCUGGCGGCAUGCCUUACACAUGCAAGUCGAACGGUAACAGGUCUUCGGAUGCUGACGAGUGGCGAACGGGUGAGUAAUACGUCGGAACGUGCCUAGUAGUGGGGGAUAACUACUCGAAAGAGUGGCUAAUACCGCAUGAGAUCUACGGAUGAAAGCAGGGGAUCGCAAGACCUUGUGCUACUAGAGCGGCCGAUGGCAGAUUAGGUAGUUGGUGGGAUAAAAGCUUACCAAGCCGACGAUCUGUAGCUGGUCUGAGAGGACGAUCAGCCACACUGGGACUGAGACACGGCCCAGACUCCUACGGGAGGCAGUAGUGGGGAAUUUUGGACAAUGGGCGCAAGCCUGAUCCAGCAAUGCCGCGUGCAGGAUGAAGGCCUUCGGGUUGUAAACUGCUUUUGUACGGAACGAAAAGCCCCGGGUUAAUACCCUGGGGUCAUGACGGUACCGUAAGAAUAAGCACCGGCUAACUACGUGCCAGCCGCCGCGGUAA
Molecule: ribosomal RNA, 498 nt
Filed under: uncultured bacterium
Lineage: Bacteria
Description: partial 16S ribosomal RNA
Rfam family: Bacterial small subunit ribosomal RNA
Source: RNAcentral